RNAcentral lists this unclassified non-coding RNA (259 nucleotides) under uncultured fungus. Its description in RNAcentral is "sequence contains ITS1, 5.8S rRNA gene". The stretch from base 211 to 259 matches the Rfam family "5.8S ribosomal RNA", at positions 1 to 49 of the family's 154-position model. The record is from RNAcentral. Lineage: Eukaryota; Fungi.
UUUCCGUAGGUGAACCUGCGGAAGGAUCAUUAUUGAAAUCGUCGGCCUUUGCUCUGCGCUGGCGUUGCCUUGCGUGGCGCCAUGCUGCGGGCAGAGGUUGCUUUCCACCUCACACCCCUGUGCACCUAGUGGCCCCUCGUGGGCCCCUUUUAACACAAACAACAAGUCUUAAAGAAUGAAUGCGGUCUUGCACCGUCCAAAUACUAAAACAACUUUCAACAACGGAUCUCUUGGCUCUCGCAUCGAUGAAGAACGCAGC